UGAACGCUGACAGAAUGCUUACCACAUGCAAGUCACCUUGAACUUCGGUUUGGGUGGCGGACGGGUGAGUAACGCGUAAAGAACUUGCCUCACAGCUAGGGACAACAUUUGGAAACGAAUGCUAAUACCUGAUAUUAUGAUUAUAUGGCAUCGUAUAAUUAUGAAAGCUAUAUGCGCUGUGAGAGAGCUUUGCGUCCCAUUAGCUAGUUGGAGAGGUAACAGCUCACCAAGGCGAUGAUGGGUAGCCGGCCUGAGAGGGUGAUCGGCCACAAGGGGACUGAGACACGGCCCUUACUCCUACGGGAGGCAGCAGUGGGGAAUAUUGGACAAUGGACCGAGAGUCUGAUCCAGCAAUUCUGUGUGCACGAUGAAGUUUUUCGGAAUGUAAAGUGCUUUCAGUUGGGAAGAAAAAAAUGACGGUACCAACAGAAGAAGUGACGGCUAAAUACGUG
RNAcentral lists this ribosomal RNA (452 nucleotides) under uncultured bacterium. Its description in RNAcentral is "partial 16S ribosomal RNA". It matches the Rfam family "Bacterial small subunit ribosomal RNA", at positions 30 to 507 of the family's 1533-position model. The record is from RNAcentral.